CGAACUCUGGUAUUGAUUGGUGCUUGCAUCAUGAUUUACAUUUGAGUGAGUGGCGAACUGGUGAGUAACACGUGGGAAACCUGCCCAGAAGCGGGGGAUAACACCUGGAAACAGAUGCUAAUACCGCAUAACAACUUGGACCGCAUGGUCCGAGCUUGAAAGAUGGCUUCGGCUAUCACUUUUGGAUGGUCCCGCGGCGUAUUAGCUAGAUGGUGGGGUAACGGCUCACCAUGGCAAUGAUACGUAGCCGACCUGAGAGGGUAAUCGGCCACAUUGGGACUGAGACACGGCCCAAACUCCUACGGGAGGCAGCAGUAGGGAAUCUUCCACAAUGGACGAAAGUCUGAUGGAGCAACGCCGCGUGAGUGAAGAAGGGUUUCGGCUCGUAAAACUCUGUUGUUAAAGAAGAACAUAUCUGAGAGUAACUGUUCAGGUAUUGACGGUAUUUAACCAGAAAGCCACGGCUAACUACGUGCCAGCAGCCGCGGUAAUACGUAGGUGGCAAGCGUUGUCCGGAUUUAUUGGGCGUAAAGCGAGCGCAGGCGGUUUUUUAAGUCUGAUGUGAAAGCCUUCGGCUCAACCGAAGAAGUGCAUCGGAAACUGGGAAACUUGAGUGCAGAAGAGGACAGUGGAACUCCAUGUGUAGCGGUGAAAUGCGUAGAUAUAUGGAAGAACACCAGUGGCGAAGGCGGCUGUCUGGUCUGUAACUGACGCUGAGGCUCGAAAGUAUGGGUAGCAAACAGGAUUAGAUACCCUGGUAGUCCAUACCGUAAACGAUGAAUGCUAAGUGUUGGAGGGUUUCCGCCCUUCAGUGCUGCAGCUAACGCAUUAAGCAUUCCGCCUGGGGAGUACGGCCGCAAGGCUGAAACUCAAAGGAAUUGACGGGGGCCCGCACAAGCGGUGGAGCAUGUGGUUUAAUUCGAAGCUACGCGAAGAACCUUACCAGGUCUUGACAUACUAUGCAAAUCUAAGAGAUUAGACGUUCCCUUCGGGGACAUGGAUACAGGUGGUGCAUGGUUGUCGUCAGCUCGUGUCGUGAGAUGUUGGGUUAAGUCCCGCAACGAGCGCAACCCUUAUUAUCAGUUGCCAGCAUUAAGUUGGGCACUCUGGUGAGACUGCCGGUGACAAACCGGAGGAAGGUGGGGAUGACGUCAAAUCAUCAUGCCCCUUAUGACCUGGGCUACACACGUGCUACAAUGGAUGGUACAACGAGUUGCGAACUCGCGAGAGUAAGCUAAUCUCUUAAAGCCAUUCUCAGUUCGGAUUGUAGGCUGCAACUCGCCUACAUGAAGUCGGAAUCGCUAGUAAUCGCGGAUCAGCAUGCCGCGGUGAAUACGUUCCCGGGCCUUGUACACACCGCCCGUCACACCAUGAGAGUUUGUAACACCCAAAGUCGGUGGGGUAACCUUUUAGGAACCA
RNAcentral lists this ribosomal RNA (1419 nucleotides) under Lactiplantibacillus plantarum. RNAcentral's name for it is "bacterial SSU rRNA". It matches the Rfam family "Bacterial small subunit ribosomal RNA". The record is from RNAcentral. Lineage: Bacteria; Bacillati; Bacillota; Bacilli; Lactobacillales; Lactobacillaceae.